CUACUGUGUGUGGAGAGCUGCCAGAUUUGCAGUGGACUUCGUAUAAGCAAGCAAUAAAUUUUUUUUUGGUGUGAGCCCCUGAGAUUUCGAAGUUAAAUAGCUACCUUACCAUAACAAAUCUGUUCUGAAUAAUACAGAAAACAGUGAUGAGGUGACUUCUGAACUGGGUUUUAAAGGGCCAGGAACAAUGGAAGGACAGAAUAUGUUUGUCAGGGCUUCUUCCUUUCCUCCUUUUCUGGGAAGAACUUAGACCCUUAAAAGAGCAGGAGCAAACUUAGAGGUAAAAGUAGGUUAGUAGUCCAGAUUUUAAGGAGGUAUUUAAGAAUCCACUAUGUGUCAGAUAAGUCAGAAAAACACAGCAUAAAAUCCUGAUAUUCAAGGGCCUUGGUAGGCAGUGUGCAGUCAGUGCUCCAUCAACGGUCCCCAGCUUGUCUGAUUUAAGGCCUCUUGUGCUCACUCUGCUUUUGCAAAUACAUUUCUCUUACUGAAAAUGACAGCAUGUAAUAGCAGUUGGAAGAGAUGACCAAAAUAAAACACUUUACCCUUUGUGAUGUGUACAUCCAAAAAUGGCUUUAAUCUUUAAAUGUGCUCAUUUAUGAUUUUUAUGGGUACCAAGUCACUCUCGUUGAGUUUAAUGGUGAUUUCAUUUGUCUUAUGAUUUUCAAAAACAAUUUUUAGAGUUUUCCAUUGUUAGAAGUAUAUGGAAAUGACUGUAUUUUUCACAUAAACAUCAAUUUAGUUUAUGUAUUUUGUAAAGAAUUCUCAUACAGUAGUCUUUUCUUAUUUACAAAUCAUCUUUCCCUUUUUGCUGCAUGAGUUGUGUUUUAUGAAGCAGCAACCAUGAUGUGAGGAGGAGUCUUGUCUGAUCAGAGGCAGAAUUAACAUUGCUUGAAAGAGCAGCCUUCUUUCUGUGUACUCAAGUUAAUUGAUGCAGUAAUUUAAUCAUUGAGCCGCUGCUCACAUUUCAUGUUUAAGUCACUUAAACUUGAUUUUAUUUUACUUUUUAGAAUGUCUAGGCUGAUGAGGAUUUAAAUGGAUUUGUAGCAUUUAAAAAUGUCCUCAAAACUGAUUGCAGCAUGACAUUCAUCAGAUUCUGUAUUCAGUUUAGUUUAGUUAUUUUGAAGCUAUCAGAUGAAAAAAAUCUAAGUUUAAUAUUCUGCAACAGGUUUUUCCAUCAUCAUUCUAAAGCCCAGGGGAACACAAUAUAUUUUUUUUAGUUUUAGUCUUCUAUUUUUCCUUAGGAUAUUUUUGACCCCAGAUACUUUUUCCUUUAAAUUUGACUGAGCUGUGAUCAUGGCUCUGACCUCUAGCCUUGAAAGAAGAGGAGUUAUGCCUCUCAGGAGCGAUGCCUCAGGCACUUUGCAAAUCAGCUGGCAGGGAUUAUUUCCCAGGCUGUGAAGCGAUGACCUUCUACAGAGAGUUAAUGUCUGCAGUGCACGUAAAUUCCUUCAGCCAUGAUUGAGAGCCCUAGGUUUGUUACCUGCUCUGUGAAUCAGAGUCCAUUCUAUCUCUAUGGAAGAUGGGUAAUUUAGUGCUAUAUUUAAAGGCACAUGUUAUAUGUUCACAUGUCAGGUAAUUUACUGCUGGAGGUGGAUAUAUCCAGUUUUUCAGCCCCAUAUAGGGUUAGUUCGGAAGUAAAUCUGGAAUUUUGGAAUGAAAAACUGGGAUGACUUUACUCUGAUUAGAGGGCACCUUACCUGUUAUUUCUAUAAACAAAGUGUGCCAGUAGUGCUCUGUCAGCUGUUCCCACCUUGUCUGAUUUCAGUCUUCCAAAGAGGAUUUCUGUUGCCUCCUAAGCUAUCCUUACAAUAAGUUAAUGCUGAUUGCUUCAGUAUUCUCAGAAUACAUUAAAAAGAGGAAUGAAAUUUCAAAUGAUUAGUAAACAGUUUUUGAAUCUGUAGGAUGUCAUUUGUUUUUAUUCUCUGAAUUGAACUGUCAAUUUUAAUCUAGUAAACUUCCAGAAUUUUUAUUCCAAAAAGCAUUUAUAUAUUUUUAAGAAAGAAAACUGACUUUCAAUAUUAAUUGGUGAUUUUUAGCAUUCAUAUGAAAAUAUAUAUUUUAAUUUCUUCUGAAAAAUCCUGGAAAAUCCACUUAUUGCCACAUCUAGUCUAGCCAGUUCCAGUAUGAGUAUGAUUGACAAAUCAUGGGAAAGCUUUAGUAAUUUAAGAGAGAAGCUAUGUCACUGAAGGCCAUGUGAAAUAGAUAGAAAUCCAGGAUAAGGAACUAUUACAAAAUGCCAUUGGUGAUAAUCUUCUAAUUUUCCAUUGUGUCCUAGUUAAAAAAUUAUCUGCCAUGAGUGGAAAUGUUUCCAAUUUAAAUCACAGGGAACUUUACUGGCAACAGGACCAUCGAUGUGAUAACUUCUUAGGUGGGUCUGCAACGUGGGUUCUGGGUAUCCAAGCUGCGUCUGCAGCCUACGCUACAGCUCACUGCAAUUCCAGAUUCUUAACCCACUGAGCGAGGCCAGAGAUCAAACCUGCAUCUUCAUGGAUACUAGUUGGGUUCAUUACCACUGAGCCACAAUAGGAAUUCCUAAGUUCUUAAAAUGUUGAUGGAGAAUAGUACUUAAUGAAGAUCAAUUACUCAAAUAAAGCUAAUUUUGUUAAUACAACUUUAAACUGUAAUGGAUAAAACAUAACUGUUAAAAUACAUUCAUUCUCUUUUGCUUGGUUUCUUCUUAUCAAAUGAAAUCUGUGAUAUAUUUGGAUGCAGAUUUAUUUAAAAGUCCCUGCUCAAUGGAAUCUGGUCAAACAGAGAGGGAAAACAGAAACACAAUGCUAGAGUUUCUGUCGUGGCUCAGUGGAAAAGAAUCUGACUAGUAUCCAUGAGGAUGCAGGUUCAAUCCCUGGCCCCACUCAGUGUGUCAAGGAUCCAGCAUUGCCAGGAGCUGUGGUGUAGGUCACAGACAAGGCUUGGUCUGGUGUUGCUGUGGCUGUGGUGUAGGCCAGCAGCUACAGCUCUGAUUAAACCCCUAGUCUGGAAACCUCCGUGUGCUGUGAGUGCAGCCCUAAAAAGAC
This 3017-nucleotide long non-coding RNA is filed under the name Sus scrofa (pig). RNAcentral's name for it is "lncRNA (ENSSSCG00000058497.1)". Lineage: Eukaryota; Metazoa; Chordata; Mammalia; Artiodactyla; Suidae. The record is from RNAcentral.